Molecule: long non-coding RNA, 241 nt
Filed under: Panax ginseng (ginseng)
Lineage: Eukaryota; Viridiplantae; Streptophyta; Magnoliopsida; Apiales; Araliaceae
Description: long non-coding RNA (PGIN_LNC012059)
Source: RNAcentral
UUUGACUGGUUGCUUCGUCGAUUUCAAAACCCUGUUACAUAUUCGUAUAAUAGAUACAGAGGGAGAAAAUGUCGGGGUCUGUUGCAGCUACUCGGCUGAGAUCAGGUUCUCGUCUGCGCUCGUUGUUUGGAACAACAAAUCUCUGCUUUUCAGUCUCGAAUUCCGCGCUUCGACAAGCUCCCACACCUUCUUCUUUCAGGCGUAUAUUAGCUACAUCUACUAAUGAACCUUUUAUUUUACU